AGAGUUUGAUCCUGGCUCAGAACGAACGUUGGCGGCGUGCUUAACACAUGCAAGUCGAACGAGAAAGUUCCUUCGGGAACGAGUAAAGUGGCGCACGGGUGAGUAACACGUAGAUAACCUGUCCAGGUGUUCGGGAUAGCCCUUCGAAAGGGGGAUUAAUACCGGAUACGUUAGUUUGUCAUAAGGCAGAUUAAGAAAGGUGGCCUCUAUUUAUAAGCUAUCGCAUUUGGAGGGGUCUGCGUACCAUUAGUUUGUUGGUGGGGUAAUGGCCUACCAAGACUUCGAUGGUUAGCGGGUCUGAGAGGAUGAUCCGUCACACUGGCACUGAAACACGGGCCAGACUCCUACGGGAGGCAGCAGUGAGGAAUAUUGCGCAAUGGGGGAAACCCUGACGCAGCGACGCCGCGUGGGUGAGGAAGGCUUUCGGGUCGUAAAGCCCUGUCAGGUGGGAAGAAAUGUGUAUAGGCUAAUACCCUUUACAUUUGACGGUACCACCAAAGGAAGCACCGGCUAACUCCGUGCCAGCAGCCGCGGUAAUACGGAGGGUGCAAACGUUGUUCGGAAUCACUGGGCGCAAAGGGCGC
This 584-nucleotide ribosomal RNA is filed under the name uncultured bacterium. RNAcentral's name for it is "bacterial SSU rRNA". It matches the Rfam family "Bacterial small subunit ribosomal RNA", at positions 8 to 570 of the family's 1533-position model. The record is from RNAcentral.